GCAUCCGGGACCCCGCGGGUGAGCGCGUGCCCGCGGCCCGUUUGGUCCCUCCAGUGAGACAGCCAUCGCGUCUGGCUCCCAGACUCGGACACCUGGGGGAGCGCCCUGUGGCCACGGAGAGCUCGACUGCUGAAGUUGGAUCACGUACCCCCCCCCCCCUGGGACUGCCACAGAGCGAUGAGCUCUGGACCCCAAGGGCAGUGCCUAGUGAGACAAGCAUAGUUUCUUCAACUCUGGCCAUACCAGCAAAUCUGAAGGAUCACAGCCACGAUGGUGGCAGCCUACCACCGUUGACACUGAACUUGUGGUUAAUUGUGGAGUUCUGCCACAAAACCACCUCACUACCACAAGCUGGAUACUUGCCCAGGAGAGUGACAAACUGCCAGGCAGAGCAAUCUCUGGGAGGCAGCAAGAGCAAAAUGCUUUGGACACCAGACAGCAGUCAUUUCUGGAUCCCAAACAGAGCUAUUUGCAAGUCAGCUUGUUCUGCUAAACCUGCUUAAAGUUUAUUCAUGCUGUUUUUGAAGAGAAACUCAAGAGAAUUUACAAAUAAAUUCUUAGAUACAUUACUAGUAUCGUUAGUAAAUUAAAUUCUUUUAUAAAUUUAAUGGGAUGGAAUUGAAAAUAAAAUUAAAAUUAUAUUACUCUGAACUGAUAAAUGAAACACCUACACAUGAUCAUUGCAAAUAAUGUAUUUUGUGUGUGUGUGUGUAUUGUAUGUGUGUGUGUGUAUUUUGUGUGUUUCUCCCUCCUGAUCUCUGAGAUUACAUGUGUAUAACACCUCUACCCUGCUAUCCUAGGCCUGUGGAAAUUUAUACUAUAAAAAAUAUGUUGAUUUAGAGUCUAUUCAAGAUAACAGAAGGAAACAAAAAAAUUGAUAUAACAACCCAUUUUGUCUAUAAUAACAUUAAACAUUCUAAAGACAAGGAAACAUUUGUGUUUUUCAGAAGUUUAUUAAUUCAUUUAGCAUGUACCAGGCACUAUUUAGACACUAAAGUUACAAAUCUAUUUAAACAACCGCUUCCCUCAGUUUAGUAGAAGGGAAAAUAUGUAAACAAGUGCAGCGUAGUGUGAAAUGCUCUGAGUUCUUAGCUAGUACAGCGUGGAACAAAGAGGAGUUCUCAGACAAAAAGAUGAUAACCUGAUUACUGAGGAAUAAAUAAAGGCUUCCCAAUUGUAUAAGAAGAAAGACAAGAAUCCAGACAAAGAGCAGGAUGUGCAGGACCAUGAGAGCUGUCACAGGAAAUUAUGGAACUGUAGGCAGAUUGGUAUGAUUUGGGGUAGAAGAAAAGUGGAUGUGGGAAGAAAAAAAUGCAAAAUAGAAAUAUGGAGGCCAGAACAAAUGAAACUCAAGAUGGAUGAUCAAAAUGUGAAUGUUUCACGCCUUCUUUAAAAGGGAACAAGAAUACCCUUGGCAGGGAAGAGAGAGGCAAAGAUUAAAACAGAGACUGAAGUAACACCAUUCAGAGCCUGCCCCACUGUGGC
RNAcentral lists this long non-coding RNA (1485 nucleotides) under Rattus norvegicus (Norway rat). RNAcentral describes it as "long non-coding RNA NONRATT031563". The record is from RNAcentral. Lineage: Eukaryota; Metazoa; Chordata; Mammalia; Rodentia; Muridae.